RNAcentral lists this ribosomal RNA (703 nucleotides) under Metamycoplasma faucium. RNAcentral describes it as "bacterial SSU rRNA". It matches the Rfam family "Bacterial small subunit ribosomal RNA", at positions 335 to 1045 of the family's 1533-position model. The record is from RNAcentral. Lineage: Bacteria; Bacillati; Mycoplasmatota; Mycoplasmoidales; Metamycoplasmataceae.
ACUCCUACGGGAGGCAGCAGUAGGGAAUAUUCCACAAUGAGCGAAAGCUUGAUGGAGCGACACAGCGUGCACGAUGAAGGCCCUCGGGUUGUAAAGUGCUGUUGCAAGGGAAGAACACUUAGUUGAGGAAAUGCAACUAAGCUGACGGUACCUUGUUAGAAAGCGAUGGCUAACUAUGUGCCAGCAGCCGCGGUAAUACAUAGGUCGCAAGCGUUAUCCGGAAUUAUUGGGCGUAAAGCGUUCGUAGGCUGUUUAUUAAGUCUGGAGUCAAAUCCCAGGGCUCAACCCUGGCUCGCUUUGGAUACUGGUAAACUAGAGUUGGAUAGAGGUAAGCGGAAUUCCAUGUGAAGCGGUGAAAUGCGUAGAUAUAUGGAAGAACACCAAAGGCGAAGGCAGCUUACUGGGUCUAUACUGACGCUGAGGGACGAAAGCGUGGGGAGCAAACAGGAUUAGAUACCCUGGUAGUCCACGCCGUAAACGAUGAUCAUUAGUCGGUGGGAGCCACUGACGCAGCUAACGCAUUAAAUGAUCCGCCUGAGUAGUAUGCUCGCAAGAGUGAAACUUAAAGGAAUUGACGGGGACCCGCACAAGCGGUGGAGCAUGUGGUUUAAUUUGAAGAUACGCGGAGAACCUUACCCACUCUUGACAUCCUUUGCAAAGCUAUAGAGAUAUAGUGGAGGUUAACAGAGUGACAGAUGGUGCA